This is a long non-coding RNA of Alligator sinensis (Chinese alligator), 334 nucleotides long. RefSeq lists it as uncharacterized. Lineage: Eukaryota; Metazoa; Chordata; Crocodylia; Alligatoridae. The transcript is spliced from 3 exons. The record is from RefSeq and is a predicted model, not a curated record.
UUGCAGGUGUGUGGCUGCAUUUCUUGAAACAAAGAAGAAAGCAUUACAGUGAAGUACCCCUCCCAACUCCCACCACCAACAAUGCACAGAGACACUGACUUUUACACCAAGGAAGACCUAAUCAACACAUUUUGUGAAUGACAGAGGAUGAUAAGGAGAGAGAGAGGCCUGGCUCCAAGGCUACAGUACCACUUGAAAAAACCCCUUGGGAUUUCUGGUUUCAAAUGAAAUGACCAAAUUAAGGUGUGUGCAUGUGAUAAGUUUAUGAAGAUAGGAUUUUGGCUGACAAAACAGCACAUGGACAACAUGGUGGCCCCAAGGAAACCCAUUGGCA